This is a non-coding RNA of Bombyx mori (domestic silkworm), 80 nucleotides long. The record is from RefSeq and is marked provisional. Lineage: Eukaryota; Metazoa; Arthropoda; Insecta; Lepidoptera; Bombycidae.
UUGACAGCCGUUGAAGAUGCACCAGAUGUUGAGAGGCCUGAAUGGAAACGCCAGGAUGCUUUAUUUGCUCGCACUCAACA